UAUUAUUUAAAAUGUAAAUAAAUAUAUUUAAGUAGUAAUAGAUAUGUUCUUGAAACUUAAAAAAUUUGGCGGUAUUUUAGUCUAUCCAGAGGAACUUGUUUUAUAAUCGAUAAUCCACGAUGGACCUUACUUAAAUUUGUAUCCAGUUUAUAUACCGUCGUUAUCAGAAUAUUUUAUAAGAAUAAUAAUAUUCAAUAAUUUUUAUUAAAAUUUAUAUCAGAUCAAGGUGUAGCUUAUGUUUAAGUAGUAAUGAGUUACAAUAAAAUUAUUUAAAUGAAUAUAAUUAUGAAAAAAUUAUUGAAGGUGGAUUUGGUAGUAAAAUUAUAAAGAUUAAUAAUUUGAUUUUAGCUCUAAAAUAUGUACACAUCGCCCGUCGCUCUUAUUAUUAAGGUAAGAUAAGUCGUAACAUAGUAGAUGUACUGGAAAGUGUCUCUAGAAUGA
Molecule: ribosomal RNA, 441 nt
Filed under: Drosophila camargoi
Lineage: Eukaryota; Metazoa; Arthropoda; Insecta; Diptera; Drosophilidae
Description: partial 12S ribosomal RNA
Source: RNAcentral